Non-coding RNA from Chlorella variabilis, 46 nucleotides. The record is from Rfam. NCBI's taxonomy places the organism in Eukaryota, Viridiplantae, Chlorophyta, Trebouxiophyceae, Chlorellales, Chlorellaceae.
AAACUGGUGUUAUUCAACACCACCCUUUGACACUGGGAAACAAGCU